Molecule: ribosomal RNA, 1141 nt
Filed under: human gut metagenome
Description: bacterial SSU rRNA
Rfam family: Bacterial small subunit ribosomal RNA
Source: RNAcentral
GGGAAACCCUGACCGAGCAACGCCGCGUGAAUGAUGACGGCCUUCGGGUUGUAAAAUUCUGUGGCGAGGAACGAAUGGCAAGGAGAGGAAAUGCUCUUUGUUUGACGGUACCUCGCUAGAAAGCCACGGCUAACUACGUGCCAGCAGCCGCGGUAAUACGUAGGUGGCAAGCGUUAUCCGGAAUUAUUGGGCGUAAAGAGUGAGCAGGCGGUUUUUUAAGUCUGAAGUCAAAUCCUGUGGCUCAACCACAGUUCGCUUUGGAAACUGAAGAACUAGAGUGCGGGAGAGGUAAGCGGAAUUCCAUAUGUAGCGGUGAAAUGCACAGAUAUAUGGAGGAACACCGGUGGCGAAGGCGGCUUACCAGCCCGAUACUGACGCUCAGUCACGAAAGCGUGGGGAGCAAAUAGGCUUAGAUACCCUAGUAGUCCACGCCGUAAACGUUGAGGACCUGAUGCCGGAGUAUUUCGGUGUCGUAGCUAACGCGUUAAGUCCUCCGCCUGGGUACUACGUUCGCAAGAAUAAAACUUAAAGGAAUUGACGGGGGCCCGCACAAGCAGUGGAGCAUGUGGUUUAAUUCGUCGCUACGCGAAAAACCUUACCAGGGUUUGACAUCCCGCUAAAAGUCUUGGAAACAAGAUCAUAGUUAUAGCGGUGAAAGGUGGUGCAUGGUUGUCGUCAGCUCGUGUCGUGAGAUGUUGGGUUAAGUCCCCUAACGAGCGCAACCCUUGUCUCUAUUUGCCAUCAUUAAGUUGGGAACUAUAGAGAGACUGCCGGUGCAAACCGGAGGAAGAUGGGGAUGACGUCAAAUCAUCAUGCCCCUUAUGCCCUGGGCCACACACGUGCUACAAUGGCCGGUACAGAGAGAAGCAAUCCCGUGAGGAGGAGCAAAUCUCACAAAGCCGGUCUCAGUUCGGAUUGGAGUCUGCAACUCGACUCCAUGAAGCUGGAAUUGCUAGUAAUCGCAGAUCAGCAUUGCUGCGGUGAAUACGUUCCCGGGCCUUGUACACACUGCCCGUCACACCAUGAGAGUCGGCAAUACUCGAAGUCGUUAUCUUAACCCGCAAGGGAGGGAGGCGCCUAAGGUAGGGCUGAUGAUUGGGGUUAAGUCGUAACAAGGUAUCCCUACGGGAACGUGGGGAUG